Molecule: ribosomal RNA, 451 nt
Filed under: uncultured bacterium
Lineage: Bacteria
Description: partial 16S ribosomal RNA
Rfam family: Bacterial small subunit ribosomal RNA
Source: RNAcentral
AGCGAACGCUGGCGGCAGGCCUAACACAUGCAAGUCGAGCGGCCGUAGCAAUACGGCAGCGGCAGACGGGAGAGUAACACGUGGGAACGUGCCCAUCAGUUCAGAACAACCCAGGGAAACUUGGGCUAAUACCGGAUACGCCCUUACGGGGAAAGAUUUAUCGCUGAUGGAGCGGCCCGCGUCUGAUUAGCUAGUUGGUGAGGUAACGGCUCACCAAGGCGACGAUCAGUAGCUGGUCUGAGAGGAUGAUCAGCCUCACUGGGACUGAGACACGGCCCAGACUCCUACGGGAGGCAGCAGUGGGGAAUAUUGGACAAUGGGCGCAAGCCUGAUCCAGCCAUGCCGCGUGGAUAAUGAAGGCCCUAGGGUUGUAAAGUCCUUUCGGCGGGGAAGAUAAUGACGGUACCCGCAGAAGAAGCCCCGGCUAACUUCGUGCCAGCCGCCGCGGUAA